CGGGGUGCAGCAGGCGCGAAAACUUUGCAAUAGGCGAAAGCCUGACAGGGCUAUCCCGAGUGCCAUCCGCUGAGGAAGGCUUUUACCCAGUCUAGAACGCUGGGGGAAUAAGGAGAGGGCAAGUCUGGUGUCAGCCGCCGCGGUAAUACCAGCUCUUCGAGUGGUGUGGAUGUUUAUUGGGCCUAAAGCAUCCGUAGCUGGCUAAGUUAGUCCCUUGUUAAAUCCACCGAAUUAAUCGUUGGAUCGCGGGGGAUACUGCUUGGCUAGGGGACGAGAGAGGCAGACGGUAUUUUCGGGGUAGGGGUGAAAUCCUAUAAUCCCGGGAAGACCACCAGUGGCGAAGGCUGUCUGCUAGAACGCGCCCGACGGUGAGGGAUGAAAGCUGGGGGAGCGAACCGGAUUAGAUACCCGGGUAGUCCCAGCUGUAAACGAUGCAGACUAGGUGUUUGAACGGCCACGUGCCGUUCUAGUGCCGCAGGGAAGCUGUUAAGUCUGCCGCCUGGGGAGUACGAUCGCAAGAUUGAAACUUAAAGGAAUUGGCGGGGGAGCACAAGGGCGAUUCGCG
RNAcentral lists this ribosomal RNA (565 nucleotides) under uncultured archaeon. RNAcentral describes it as "bacterial SSU rRNA". It matches the Rfam family "Archaeal small subunit ribosomal RNA", at positions 326 to 897 of the family's 1478-position model. The record is from RNAcentral.